AUUGAACGCUGGCGGCAUGCCUUACACAUGCAAGUCGAACGGCAGCACGGGGGCAACCCUGGUGGCGAGUGGCGAACGGGUGAGUAAUGCAUCGGAACGUGCCCAGUAGUGGGGGAUAACUAGUCGAAAGAUUAGCUAAUACCGCAUACGACCUACGGGUGAAAGCGGGGGACCUUUACCGCCUCGCGCUAUCGGAGCGGCCGAUGUCUGAUUAGCUAGUUGGCGGGGAAAAGCCCACCAAGGCGACGAUCAGUAGCUGGUCUGAGAGGACGACCAGCCACACUGGGACUGAGACACGGCCCAGACUCCUACGGGAGGCAGCAGUGGGGUAAUUUUGGACAAUGGGCGCAAGCCUGAUCCAGCCAUGCCGCGUGCGGGAAGAAGGCC
Molecule: ribosomal RNA, 387 nt
Filed under: uncultured bacterium
Lineage: Bacteria
Description: bacterial SSU rRNA
Rfam family: Bacterial small subunit ribosomal RNA
Source: RNAcentral